RNAcentral lists this ribosomal RNA (447 nucleotides) under uncultured bacterium. Its description in RNAcentral is "bacterial SSU rRNA". It matches the Rfam family "Bacterial small subunit ribosomal RNA", at positions 355 to 796 of the family's 1533-position model. The record is from RNAcentral.
UCGAGAAUCUUCUGCAAUGGACGCAAGUCUGACAGGGCGACGCCGCGUGUAGGAUGAAGGCCUUCGGGUUGUAAACUACUGUUGCACCUUACGAACCCCCGGGAGUGAAUAGCUCUCCGGGAUGACCAGGGUGUGAGGAAGCACAGGCUAACUCCGUGCCAGCAGCCGCGGUAAUACGGAGUGUGCAAGCGUUACUCGGAAUCACUGGGCAUAAAGCGCGCGUAGGCGGGCUUUCAAGUCGGUUGUGAAAUCCCUCAGCUCAACUGAGGAACUGCAUCCGAUACUGUCUGUCUUGAGGACGAGAGGGGAGAGUGGAACUUCUGGUGGAGCGGUGAAAUGCGUAGAUAUCAGAAGGAACGCCGGUGGCGAAAGCGACUCUCUGGCUCGUAUCUGACGCUGAGGCGCGAAAGCUUGGGUAGCAAACGGGAUUAGAUACCCGCGUAGUCC